AGCGAAAAUUAUAUGUUCGGACAUUGUUUUCGAAUAUUUUGCAUGUAUCAAAGCUCUUAUAAAGAAGAUAGGGUAUUCCUACAUAGCUGGUGGGACCCACGGCAUAUGGAUCAUAAAGUCUUCAAAAAAGAAUAAAUACGAUUGCAUUGCAUGUAGUAACGGAUGCGAACAUACCAACAUUAAUGCACUGGAUCCCAUCAGAACUCUACAGUUAAGCGUGCUUGGGCGAGAGUAGUACUAGGUUGGGUGAUUCUCGGAAAGUCCUCGUGUUGCAUCCCUCUUUUGUUUUCGGUUUUUCUCUUUUUUUUUG
Molecule: small RNA, 310 nt
Filed under: Arabidopsis thaliana (thale cress)
Lineage: Eukaryota; Viridiplantae; Streptophyta; Magnoliopsida; Brassicales; Brassicaceae
Source: RNAcentral